GAUGAACGCUGGCGGCGUGCCUAAUACAUGCAAGUCGAGCGAACGGACGAGAAGCUUGCUUCUCUGAUGUUAGCGGCGGACGGGUGAGUAACACGUGGAUAACCUACCUAUAAGACUGGGAUAACUUCGGGAAACCGUAGCUAAUACCGGAUAAUAUUUUGAACCGCAUGGUUCAAAAGUGAAAGACGGUCUUGCUGUCACUUAUAGAUGGAUCCGCGCUGCAUUAGCUAGUUGGUAAGGUAACGGCUUACCAAGGCAACGAUGCAUAGCCGACCUGAGAGGGUGAUCGGCCACACUGGAACUGAGACACGGUCCAGACUCCUACGGGAGGCAGCAGUAGGGAAUCUUCCGCAAUGGGCGAAAGCCUGACGGAGCAACGCCGCGUGAGUGAUGAAGGUCUUCGGAUCGUAAAACUCUGUUAUUAGGGAAGAACAUAUGUGUAAGUAACUGUGCACAUCUUGGCGGUACCUAAUCAGAAAACCACGGCUAACUACGU
Molecule: ribosomal RNA, 496 nt
Filed under: uncultured bacterium
Lineage: Bacteria
Description: partial 16S ribosomal RNA
Rfam family: Bacterial small subunit ribosomal RNA
Source: RNAcentral